GAUGAACGCUGGCGGCGUGCCUAAUACAUGCAAGUCGAGCGAACAGACGAGGAGCUUGCUCCUCUGACGUUAGCGGCGGACGGGUGAGUAACACGUGGAUAACCUACCUAUAAGACUGGGAUAACUUCGGGAAACCGGAGCUAAUACCGUAUAAUAUAUUGAACCGCAUGGUUCAAUAGUGAAAGACGGUUUUGCUGUCACUUAUAGAUGGAUCCGCGCCGCAUGGGAUAGUUGGUAAGGUAACGGCUUACCAAGGCAACGAUGCGUAGACGACCGGAGAGGGGGAUAGGCCACAUGGGAGGUGAGACGCGGUCAAGACUACUACGGGAGGCAGCAGUAUGGAAUCUUCCGCAAUGGGCGAAAGCUUGACGGAGCAACGCCGCGUGAGUGAUGACGGUCUUCGGAUCGUAAUACUCUGUUAUUAGGGAAGAACAAAUGUGUAAGUAACUAUGCACGUCGUGACGGUAACUAAUCAGAAAGCCACGGCUAACUACGUG
RNAcentral lists this ribosomal RNA (497 nucleotides) under uncultured bacterium. Its description in RNAcentral is "partial 16S ribosomal RNA". It matches the Rfam family "Bacterial small subunit ribosomal RNA", at positions 28 to 507 of the family's 1533-position model. The record is from RNAcentral.